Molecule: ribosomal RNA, 444 nt
Filed under: uncultured bacterium
Lineage: Bacteria
Description: bacterial SSU rRNA
Rfam family: Bacterial small subunit ribosomal RNA
Source: RNAcentral
GAUGAACGCUGGCGGCGUGCUUAACACAUGCAAGUCGAGCGAAGCACUUGAGUUUGAUUCUUCGGAUGAAGACUUUUGUGACUGAGCGGCGGACGGGUGAGUAACGCGUGGGUAACCUGCCUCAUACAGGGGGAUAACAGUUAGAAAUGACUGCUAAUACCGCAUAAGACCACGGUACCGCAUGGUACAGUGGUAAAAACUCCGGUGGUAUGAGAUGGACCCGCGUCUGAUUAGGUAGUUGGUGGGGUAACGGCCUACCAAGCCGACGAUCAGUAGCCGACCUGAGAGGGUGACCGGCCACAUUGGGACUGAGACACGGCCCAGACUCCUACGGGAGGCAGCAGUGGGGAAUAUUGCACAAUGGAGGAGACUCUGAUGCAGCGACGCCGCGUGAAGGAUGAAGUAUUUCGGUAUGUAAACUUCUAUCAGCAGGGAAGAAAAUGA